This 355-nucleotide unclassified non-coding RNA is filed under the name soil metagenome. Its description in RNAcentral is "partial contains 5.8S ribosomal RNA, internal transcribed spacer 2, and large subunit ribosomal RNA". The stretch from base 1 to 120 matches the Rfam family "5.8S ribosomal RNA", at positions 35 to 154 of the family's 154-position model. The record is from RNAcentral.
GAUGAAGAACGCAGCGAAAUGCGAUAAGUAAUGUGAAUUGCAGAAUUCAGUGAAUCAUCGAAUCUUUGAACGCACAUUGCGCCCGCCAGUAUUCUGGCGGGCAUGCCUGUCCGAGCGUCAUUUCAACCCUCGAACCCCUCCGGGGGGUCGGCGUUGGGGAUCGGCCCUGCCCCUUGGCGGUGGCCGUCUCCGAAAUACAGUGGCGGUCUCGCCGCAGCCUCUCCUGCGCAGUAGUUUGCACACUCGCAUCGGGAGCGCGGCGCGUCCACAGCCGUUAAACACCCAACUUCUGAAAUGUUGACCUCGGAUCAGGUAGGAAUACCCGCUGAACUUAAGCAUAUCAAUAAGCGGAGGA